RNAcentral lists this transfer RNA (70 nucleotides) under Onisimus nanseni. RNAcentral's name for it is "tRNA-Val". The record is from RNAcentral. Lineage: Eukaryota; Metazoa; Arthropoda; Malacostraca; Amphipoda; Lysianassidae.
UGCAAUAAAUAUGAGAGAUAUUUUUUCCUACACAAAAAGGAAAAAAAAAUAUUUCUCAUAUUUAUUGCUA